AAAAAGGGUAUCCGAGUCAGGUGUUCGCAACGAAAGCGCGCCGAGUCGCACUGCGCCUUGGGACCAUCUAGCAUCCUUCGGGGAGCGGGGGUCGAGUUUCCAAUCUGCUCACCCUUCGAUGGGAUCCCUAUGUGCCCAGUGGGGUAUGGCUUUGCAUAUCCGAGGCUCAAUUUUUGAAUGUGGGGCUUGACAGCUGCACCUCGUAUGGUCCGAAUGGUACGGACCUGUGCGCUGCGCCCCG
RNAcentral lists this small nuclear RNA (241 nucleotides) under Drosophila persimilis. RNAcentral describes it as "U11 spliceosomal RNA". It matches the Rfam family "U11 spliceosomal RNA". Lineage: Eukaryota; Metazoa; Arthropoda; Insecta; Diptera; Drosophilidae. The record is from Rfam by way of RNAcentral.